AAACAGGGAAUAGGCAAGCAGGACGGGGUUGGACCUAACAAUUCAGUACAGGUUAAUGUUGAGUCUGGAUCCUAUCCUAGGAAGCACAAGUCAUGAGGCAGGGGACACCCUAGGCGAGGUCUCAGUCCAUCACAAGGCACACAUACUCUCACACUAUGGGCAAUUCAUAGACACCAGACCCCUUAAACUACAUGCUCUUUUGGACUGCAGGAGGAAACUGGACUACAUGAAGAAUAGCCAUGCAAGCAGAAAGGGAACAUGGAAACUGCUCAUAUACACAGCUGAGCCAGGGGCAGGAAUCAGGCUUGGAGGUACAAGGGCGCAAUGACAGCCACUGAGACACUCUGUGCCCCCUAGGAUAGCAACAAAGAACUGAAAAACCAGAUGAGAAAAACAGUCUUGGUUCUCUCGCAGACUUCAGAUGAAGACCUUGCCUGCUGUUGCACUUCCAGCAGUGUGACAAACCAUUUAACACUGGUUAUUCCCCCAGAUCAUUUCCUUAAAGCCCUUUUAUUUCUGAAAA
Paramormyrops kingsleyae is the source of this 523-nucleotide long non-coding RNA. RefSeq lists it as uncharacterized. NCBI's taxonomy places the organism in Eukaryota, Metazoa, Chordata, Actinopteri, Osteoglossiformes, Mormyridae. The record is from RefSeq and is a predicted model, not a curated record.